ACCAUAAUAGCUAAUAAGACCUUCACACUAAGUUUGCUGUAAAUUUCUCUUUUCACAGGUGUAUUACCUGGGCGUGACUGAGCGCAUCACUGGCCUUAGCCAGGUGUGGCCCCAAAUCUAUCUGUCUAUCUAGGAAAGACUGAAACUCAUGGGCUCCCUCUGUCAAUGCAGCCUGCCCCAGGACCACUGUCCAGAUGGACUCAGGAGCUGCCACUGCUUUCCAGAAGGACCCAUGUGGGAUCAAAUCCCACUUUGACUGUUGUGGGUCAAACUAUAUGUGCCUUGACCAGACAAACUCCAUUUUACCCUGAGACUCCAUUUCUUUUUGUCUUUUCUGUUGGUGCUGGGGAUCGAACUCGGGCCUUGUGCGUGGUAGGCAUGCACUCUACCAACUGAGCUAAAUCCCCAGCCCCACUGAGAUUUCAUUUCAUGUAAGAAAUGUUUCUUACACAUGAGAAACAUGUGUAACUCACCUCCUGCUAAGCACAACCUCUUUGGCAAUGCACAGUGGCUGAAAAAUGUUUCUUUUAUUUUUAUACAAUGUAUUAUUAAAAAACGGUUUGGGGCUGGGGUUGUAGCAGUGGUAGAGUGCUCACUUAGCAUGUGCGAGGACCUGGGUUCAAGCCUCAGCACUACAUAAAAAUAAAUAAAAUAAAGAUGUUGUUUCCAACUAAAAAAUAAAUAUUAAAAAAAAGAAGGGUGGAGGUUGUGGCUCAGUGGUAGAGCAUUUGCCUAGCAUGUGUGAGGCAUUGGGUUCAAUCCCUGGCACCAUAUAAAAAUAAAAACAAAUAAAGGUAUCGUGUCCAUCUUCAACUAAAAAAAAAAAAAAAGAAAAAAGAAAAAAGAAAUGCUUUUGCAAGGUGUUCUUUUUAAAAAUAUUUUUAUUAGUUAUUGAUGGACCUUUAUUUAUUUGUUUAUAUGUGGUGCUGAGAAUCAAACCCAGGGUCUCACACAUACUAGACAAGCGCUCUACCACUGAGCUACAACUCCAGCCCCUCUCUCUCUUUUAAUUUUUGUAAUUGUAGAUGGACAGAAUACCUUUAUUUUCCUUGUUUACUUUUGUAUGGUGCUGAGGAUGGAACCUCACACAUGUAGGCAAGUGCUCUGCCACUGAGCUACAGCCCCAGCCCAUAAGAUGUUCUUUUUUUAGUUCCCAUUUUUCUUGGGCAAUGUAUCCUGACUAUACCCU
This 1189-nucleotide long non-coding RNA is filed under the name Marmota monax (woodchuck). Lineage: Eukaryota; Metazoa; Chordata; Mammalia; Rodentia; Sciuridae. The record is from RNAcentral.